RNA transcript from Cannabis sativa, 2318 nucleotides. RefSeq lists it as uncharacterized. The record is from RefSeq and is a predicted model, not a curated record. The transcript has 3 exons. NCBI's taxonomy places the organism in Eukaryota, Viridiplantae, Streptophyta, Magnoliopsida, Rosales, Cannabaceae.
UGUGUAGGAAGCUUACUGGAGUAUGGCAUCUGCUCUCUCUAAAGUUGAUGGAAUUGAUUACACUGAUCCUGAAGAGGUCCAAUUUUACUUUCAUGCUACUGAGCCUCGAAAUAUCAAUUUGGUAAUGUUUUGUUUUACUUAACUAUUCUUUGUACUUGGAUUAGCUCGAGUUGUUGAUCACAACUCUCAUAGAUCUGGAUGCAAUGGAUGGGAAAAGUAGUGUUUCAUUAUUGGCAGAAUGUUCAAGCUCUCCUGAUGUUAAUACUAGGAAAGCAUUGGCUAAUGCAUUGUCUGUAGCUCCAUCCAUGUGGACAUCUGGAUUGUAGUUCAUGGCAUUUCCCAUUUUGUCCUCGCUUGUUCCACCUGCGAUAGCAAGCACGAUAGCCAUACAACUCAAGAUGGAAGAGUUGGUCCUACUUUCAAUCAAAAUAUAUCAACUUGUUUGAUUUAGGCCAAUUGCAUUGCAUCAUCAACCAUUAAGAGUCAUUGCAUUGUAUUUCGAGCGGUCUCCAAUUGAUUCAUUUUUAAUCCAACGGCUGAGAAUUGUUUGGUUUGGGGGUCUGUGUGGGCCCAUUUGGACUGUUUAAUUUUGUCUCUUUCUUCAAACUUACUCACUAUUUAUAUUUUUUUUAUAUAUAUAUCUCUGUUUUAUAUUUGCAGAUAUGAGUGAGAAUAGUUCAUUUCUUUUGUCUCCUAAUUUAUUAAGCUCAGAAAUAUUAGAAGAAGAUGAUGAUGUUUUUUCAACUGGUUACUUAGAAGAUGCCUUGUUUGAAUUCACUAAAAAAUCAAAGAGAAGAUGUUUAUUGGUUUAUACUGAUCAUAAUCAUAAUCAUGAAAAUCUUCUCUCUAAGGUACUAAUUAUAAUUAUACUUCAUUUUUAUUAUUAUUAUAUAAUAAUUAAUCAAUUAAUCUCAACUUGGGUUUUUAUUUAUUUUUUACAGAGUUACUUGGACUCAUCAGCAACAUCAUCAUCAUCAAUAUCUAAUUGGGAAAUUAUGUCAUCUCAUGAUCACGAGAAUAAUUUCAAUUUUAUGACUCAUAAUUAGUGAGUUCAUUAUUUCUAUAAUUAAUGUGCAUUAUUAUUUGGAGAAUUAUUUUAUAUAUUAUUUUUUUUUUAAUUUAGUAGCUAUAUGGAUCUUGGUAUUUUAGUUGCAAUUUAAGUUGCUCUGUUAGUUUUUAUAUAGAUUUUCGUAAAAAUAUAUAAAAAAAUUACUUUAAAUAUAAAAAUAAAAAAACCUCUUAUUAUUAUAUAUAUUUAAUUUUGUAUAAUAACAUAUUAAUUAUGUUUUUAAUUUUGGUAAUCAUCUUAGGUGGGAUAAUUUUAAACAGAGGAGAUGAAAACAAUAUCAUCAAUGUCAGAAGAAGAAAAAUCAUCACUUAAUUCAUCUUAAUAUGAUAAUAAUAAGGACCCUUUUAUCUUAAUUUUUUUUGUUUAUGUUUUGAUUGAACAUUGCUUAUUCUAAUUUCAUGCAUAUUUUCUAAUUUUCAGCAUUAGAAUAGAUAUGGAUGUUGAUAUAGAUCACUAUACUAUUCUUGGCCUACCAAUGGGUGAGGAUGGUGCUAAUAAGCUUACAGAGAAAAAGAUAUUAAAGGUGUAUACCUGUAACCAGAUAAAUUACCUGAUAAGUUUUGUAUUAGUUAUUGUUCUUAUUGUCCAUAUUCUGAUAUAAAACUUUCAUUACUUGCACUACAUUAUUAAUUUUAAUCAAAAUUGGACUUUGCAUUAUGUUAUCUUGUACAGUUCUAUUCUUUCAUAAAACAGAGACUUCAAAGUCAAAAGGACCGCAUGAGUUAAAUUUGCAUUUGGCUUUGAUUGUUAAUUAAAGUAUUAGCAUAUAUCUUUUAUGUUGUUGCAUAGCAGUUAAAUAUUAUUAAGAAUUACACAAAAGGCAAAACUAAUGAGUAAAGAAACCAAAUUAUUCAAACUAAUACGCUGAAUGAUUUUAAUCGAAGAUUCGACUGCAAAAAAAAAAAUAUAUUAUUAAAACUGUAUAUAUAUUAUGUAAUAAUGAAUUUGUGAACCAAAUUAUCAUAAAGUAUUUCAUGAUUUUAAUUUUAACAUUAUUUAAUGAUAUUUAUUUUAUUUUAUAAAUAAUCUUUUUACUUUAUUUUGGAAUAUGAACGGGAUAUAUGACAAGACUCAAUACUUUUAUUUAAAAAUUUUUACUUAAAGUCUUUGAAAUUAAUAAGUUUUUCAAAAUUUACAAUUUUAUUUUAAUAUUCAAAAUUCUAAACUCAACCUAGAAAAAAAACUAAGUGUAUAACUAGAUAUAUACGUACAUUGUACGUAACUUUAUGCUAGUAUAUAUAUAAAUAUA